UGGGGAAUAUUGGACAAUGGGGGCAACCCUGAUCCAGCAAUGCCGCGUGUGUGAAGAAGGUUUUCGGAUUGUAAAGCACUUUCGACGGGGACGAUGAUGACGGUACCCGUAGAAGAAGCCCCGGCUAACUUCGUGCCAGCAGCCGCGGUAAUACGAAGGGGGCUAGCGUUGCUCGGAAUGACUGGGCGUAAAGGGCGUGUAGGCGGUUUGUACAGUCAGAUGUGAAAUCCCCGGGCUUAACCUGGGAGCUGCAUUUGAUACGUGCAGACUAGAGUGUGAGAGAGGGUUGUGGAAUUCCCAGUGUAGAGGUGAAAUUCGUAGAUA
RNAcentral lists this ribosomal RNA (324 nucleotides) under uncultured bacterium. Its description in RNAcentral is "partial 16S ribosomal RNA". It matches the Rfam family "Bacterial small subunit ribosomal RNA", at positions 355 to 696 of the family's 1533-position model. The record is from RNAcentral.